GCAAAAAUGUGGUCUUUCAUCUUCACGUGCGUAUUGUAUUUUUGCUCAACCAGCCAAUAGCAAUGGUUUUGUCCAAUUGCCCAUCCAUUACUUUAACAAAAGGACAUUUUGAACAUUCCUAUUGGUUGACUGCAGAAAAAUACAAUACGCACGUGACGAUGAAAGACCACAUUUUUGU
This is a non-coding RNA of Paramuricea clavata, 178 nucleotides long. The record is from the annotation of a GenBank genome assembly. NCBI's taxonomy places the organism in Eukaryota, Metazoa, Cnidaria, Anthozoa, Malacalcyonacea, Plexauridae.